This 499-nucleotide ribosomal RNA is filed under the name uncultured bacterium. RNAcentral's name for it is "partial 16S ribosomal RNA". It matches the Rfam family "Bacterial small subunit ribosomal RNA", at positions 28 to 507 of the family's 1533-position model. The record is from RNAcentral.
GACGAACGCUGGCGGCGUGCCUAAUACAUGCAAGUCGAGCGGACAGAUUAAGAGCUUGCUCUUAUGACGUUAGCGGCGGACGGGUGAGUAACACGUGGGCAACCUGCCCUUUAGACCGGGAUAACAUCGAGAAAUCGGUGCUAAUACCGGGUAAUAUCUGAGAUCACAUGAUCUUAGGUUAAAAGAUGGCUUCGGCUAUCACUACAGGAUGAGCCCGCGGCGCCUUACCUAGUGGGUAAGGAAAGGGCUUACCAAGGCGCAGUUGCGUAGCCGACCGUGAGGGUGAUCGGCCCCACUGGGGCUGAGACACGGCCCAGACUCCUCCGGGAGGCAGCAGUGGGGAAUCUUCCGCACUGGACGAGAGUCUGACGGAGCACCGCCGCGUGAGUGAUGAAGGGUUUCGGCGCGUAUAGCUCUGUUGUUAGGGAAGAAACAGUACCGAACGAACUAGGUCGGUACCUUGACGGUACCUAACCAGAAAGCCACGGCUAACUACGUG